UUUUCACUGCGGCCCAAAACAUCAACUGUUUACACUUUUCCAUAGAUGCUGCCUGGGCUACUAAGUUGCUCCAGCAUUUUGUGUGCGUCGCUUGGAUUUCCAGCAUCUGCAAACUUUCUCUUGUUCAUAUAUUGAAAGGCCUAGUUAGAGUGGAAAUGGAGAGGAUGUACCUAAUAGUAGGAGAAUCUAGGACCAGGGGACACAGCCUCAGGAAACAAGGACAUCCCUUUAGAACAGAGUCAAGGAGGAAUUUCUUUAAGCAGGUGGUGGUGAAUCUGUGGAGUUCAUUGACACAAAAAGCGGUGGAGCUCAAGUCAUACUUAACAUGGAUAUUCAUAGGUUCUUGAUUAGUACGAGUCAAAUAUUAAAGGGAGGAGAAUAGGGUUGAGAGGGAAAAUAAACCGGCCAUGAUUGAAGGGUAGAGCAGACUCUAUGGGACGCAUGGUCUGAUGCUGCUUCUGUCUAAGGUCUUCAUGUUUCUUUUUGGUUUAAGAUCUUAAUUGCUACUCCAUCAGAGUCUUACAAAGUGUGGGUACAUACAAGAGAUAUAAGAUUAAGCAUGAGUUGAUAAUUGAUAAAAUACAUUCACCACUUGUAAAUAUCUGUACUGGUGCACGAGGUUGACAUGUUUUUUUUAUUUCAAGCAUAUUUUGAUGGACCUUUCAAUGUUUGCAGAAGACAUGAUGUUUUUUAAGCUCUGGUCUGUAUUUCUCUCUACUGAAAACAUGGAAAAAAAUGGGUUGGGUAUGCUAACAGACAAGCAACUUUAUUUUGACAAUGACUCCUCAUCCCUGAUUAAUUGUUGAAAACUGUAAUGAUAAUAAAAUGAGAAUGUUAAUUCAUUGUUUUAUGAAGAGCAAAACAAUUAAGGUCAAUUAUUUACUUUUCCACAAAUAUUUAAUAAUUUAUGGGAGUAACUGUAGAAAUUCAAAACGAAAAGGCAGAGAAGAGGGAGACAAAUUGUGCAUAUUUGUGCAAAAGGAUUUUUUAACAAGAGAAAGAAGUAAUUUGAUAGUUGUUCUUCUCCUCCACGUCUUGUGGUGCAUCUGGCAGCAACCUAUGCCAUUUCCUUAGCAUUUAUUUGCCUGUUUUUGCUCGACGCUCAACCCAGCACGGAUGGAAAGUGUGGAAGGAACCAGCCAGAUUCCAAACCGGGACCACUCGCUUCAAAAUCCGGUGCGAAUGCCGCUACACCACUGGCCAACCAAUUCGAUAGUGGAGCAAUUAUAUUUAUUUAUCACUAUACCUUUUUGCAUUUGCACAUAUUGUUGUCUUUUUCACAUUGUUUCAAAUUGGUUCUUUACCUGUCCAGUUGGGUGCGCUCUUUCAUUAAUUCUGUUCCCUGUGCAUACUUAAUGGUAUGGUUAUACUUAUAUUAAGAUCAUACAAUUUUACUUUUCUUCAAAUUAUAAAAAUAAAACCAUAUGAUUUUCUAUUUUAAAGUAUUGUGUGGACAUGGAAGCAGGACGGGGAGGGGAAAAUGCGAAAUGAUAGGAGAAGACUGGAGGGGGAGGAAUGAAGCUAAGAGCUGGAAAGGUGAUUGGCAAAAGGGAAAGGAUCAUGGGAUGGGAGGCCUAGGGAGAAAGAGAGGGGGAGGGUUAGCACUAGAGGGAGAUGGAGAACAGGCAGAAUGAUGGGCAGAGAGAGAGGAAAAAAAAAGGGGGGAAAGCUAAAUAUAUCAGGGAUGGGGUGAGAAGGGGAGGAGGGGCAUUAACGGAAAUUAGAGAAGUCAAUGUUCAUGCCAUCAGGUUGGAGGCUCUCAGCUUCACCCCACCCCCUCCGGUCUUCUCCUAACAUUUUGCAUUUCCACCUCUCCCUCCUACUUUCAAAUCUUUUACCAUCUUUCCUUUCAAUUAGUCCUGACGAAGGGUCUCGGCCCGAAACUUCAACAGUGCUUCUUCCUAUAGAUCUGUCUGGCCUUGCUGCGUUCCACCAGCAUUUUGUGUGUGUUAGUUGAGACAUAAUAACUGUUGGUGUUUUUAGCCUGAGGCUUCUGUACCUCCUUCUUCAUGGCAGCAGCGAGAAGAGAGCAUGGCCUGGAUGAUGGAUGCAACUUUUCUGUAACAGUGGUCCGUGGAAGUGUGCUUAAUAGUGGGGAGGGCUUUACACAUGAUGGACUGGGCUGUAUCUACUACCUUUUGUAGUUUUUCUCUUCAAGGGUAUGUGUUUCAAUAUCAGGCCGCGUUGCAACCAAUCAAUAUACUCUCUCCACUAAAAGUAUGUCAACAAUUUUAGAUGACAUGCUGAAUCUUCACAAGCAGAGGCUCAGCCAUGCUUUCUUUGUAAUGGUGCUUACAUGCUGGACCCAGGACAGAUCCUCUAAAAUGGUAACACCGAGGAAUUUAAAGUUGCUGACCCUCUCCAUCUCUGAUCCCCUGAUGAGGACUGACUCAUGGACCUCCAGUUUCCUCAACUGAAAUCUACAGUCAGCUCCUUGGUCUUGCUGACAUUGAGUGAGAAGUUGUGGCACCACUCAAAUUUUCAAUCACUGUCCUUUAUGCUGAUUUGUCAACAGCUUUGAUUGGGCCAAUGACAGUGGUGUCAUCAGCAAACUUAAAUAUGGCAUUGGAGCUGUGCUUAGCCUCGCACUCAGAAAGGUAAAGCAAGUAGAGCAGAGGGUUAAGCACACGGACUUGUGGUGCACUUGUGCUGAUGGAGAUUGUGGAGGAGAUGUUGAUGCCAACCCAAACUGACUGGAGUCUGCAAGUGAGGAAAUUGAGGAUCCAAUUGUACAAGGAGGUAUUGAGGAAAAGGUUUUGAAACUUACUGAUUAGUUUCGAGGGGGUGAUAGUAUUGAAUGCUGAGCUGUAGUUGAUAAAGAGCAUCCUGAUGUACACACCUUUGCUGUCCAAAUGUUCCAGGGUUUUGUGAAGAGCCAAUUUGCCUACCAGUGCUGUGAAUUUGUUGCACUGGUAGGCAAAUUGGAGCAGAUCCAAGUCACUUCUCAGGCAGGGGUUGAUCUACUUUAUCACCAACCUCUCAAACACUUCAUCACUGUGGAUGUAAGUGCUACUGGAUGAUAGUCAUUGAGGCAUGUUCUUCUUAGGGACCAGUAUAUCUGAGACUGAAAUCACAGGGUCAUCAGGAGCUGAGGGAGUUUGUGAACAUUCCUCUAUUUUUUGGCUUCAAAGCAAACAUAGAAGCCAUUGAGCUCAUCUGGGACUGAAGCCUUGUUGUCACUUCAGUUUCACUUUGUAGGAGGUGAUAGAAUUCAAGCCCUGCCUCAGCUUUCGAGCAUCCUUCUGCGAUUCAGGAACUAAUGAAGAGUCUCGGGCCGAAACAUUGGCUGUGUAGUCAUCUCCAUAGAUGCUUCCUGACCUGAUUGCCAGGGAACUGAAGUUUGAAGAAAAGGAUUCGUACUUGCUUCUUUACUCAGUUUGGAAUGGAAGCCAGUUGAUACUGUUAUGAAGGUACCACAGCUCCGAGGGACCGAAAGAGCGGGAGCAGCCCCCUCCUUCCGGAGAAUCGCAAGAUCGCUAUUAAUUCAGGUCUUGGAAGUGAGAGACAAUGCAACGGUUUUGACUAUUUGUUCUUAGAGGCGCCUGUGUCACGUGCAAGUCCCAGCUACGUGACAACUACCAUGAACCUGAACACCCUCGGGCCAUGUGGGGGUGGAGAUUGCAUCCCCCGACUUUGAUGGACAGCUACAACUCUGCAAGUAAAGAUAAAAGCGGACUGCAGGAGGCAGUACCCUAGCGAUGCACCAGAGGAACUUGCUCGCUCAAUGCUCCCGGGAGAGCUGGAAGCCACUCAACGCCACGUGUGCUCCUAACUCCUUUGCCUGGGGAGCGGGUGGCUGGUACUACCGAGAAGGACUUCGAACUAACAACGGGGAAACCAACGCUCCCCUGAUUUUAACGGAGUGGUCGUAAAGACAUGGGCAAGUCUUCUUUUCGUUCUCACCGAUCCCUCUAAGACACGUGAGACCCAACGAUUCCUCAAAAGACUUCUGAAUGACUCUAUAUUUCCAAUGGACAAAAAUAUUAUCCCCUCGACAACAGCCGAGAUUAAUGAUGAUUAUGACUAUACCCAGGCUUUAGAUUGCGUAUUGGUGAUGUGCAUUAUCUGAAUGUUUGCAUUAACCUUACUUUUGUGCCCCUUUAUAAAUAAAAACGUUUGAAAAUAGUGACAUCAGACUUCAACAGACCUCUCUAUCUUUGCUGGUAAGUUAUCCAGUUACGGGAUACGUAACAACUAGUGCAAAACCUUGCUUAUGUCUGCAUCAAAUUUCAACUG
Hypanus sabinus (Atlantic stingray) is the source of this 4236-nucleotide long non-coding RNA. RefSeq lists it as uncharacterized. The record is from RefSeq and is a predicted model, not a curated record. NCBI's taxonomy places the organism in Eukaryota, Metazoa, Chordata, Chondrichthyes, Myliobatiformes, Dasyatidae. The transcript has 3 exons.